GCGGGAGCUGUCGGGGCGGGGCGGCACCGCCGAGCUCCGAGCUGUGAGGACCGCCCCGGGCCUUGGGCGGGGCGGGGGCCAGGGAAGGGCGUGCGCAGGAUUGGGGAGCACGUUUUGCGUCUUGCUGUGCGUGAGGAAGCGGGGAUCCAGGUCAAGGCUAUGGAAAGUUCCAGAAGCAAAAACAAAAAAAGUUCGGGUACAGCGGCUCACACCUGUAAUCCCAGCUCUUAGGGAGAUGGAAACUGGAGGAUCACUUGAGGCCAGGAGUUCAAGACCAGCCUGGGCAACAUAGCAAGACCCAGUCUCUUAAAAGAAAAUUAAAAAGAAAGAGUAAAUAAAGUUCCAGAAGCUUUGCUCUCCUUAUCCAAGCAGCGUUUGUACUUUGGCACUGGAAAGUGCGGGAGUCAGGGGUUUGUGAGA
RNAcentral lists this long non-coding RNA (420 nucleotides) under Homo sapiens (human). RNAcentral's name for it is "non-protein coding lnc-TRIM41-4:5". Lineage: Eukaryota; Metazoa; Chordata; Mammalia; Primates; Hominidae. The record is from RNAcentral.